GGGGAUUUAGCUCAGCGGUAGAGCGCUUGCCUAGCAAGCACAAGGCCCUGGGUUCGGUCCCCAGUUCCG
This is a non-coding RNA of Rattus norvegicus (Norway rat), 69 nucleotides long. The record is from Rfam. NCBI's taxonomy places the organism in Eukaryota, Metazoa, Chordata, Mammalia, Rodentia, Muridae.